Pelobates cultripes (western spadefoot toad) is the source of this 220-nucleotide non-coding RNA. NCBI's taxonomy places the organism in Eukaryota, Metazoa, Chordata, Amphibia, Anura, Pelobatidae. The record is from the annotation of a GenBank genome assembly.
CCUCUAAUCUAUGUUCGGGGAAAUUUUCCCGAACGUAGAUUAGAGGGAUUCCCUGAUCUGGUGCGUUCGUCUAUGUUCGGGGAAGUUUCUCCGAACAUAGAAAAGCGCACCAGAGCAGGGAAUCCCCAUAACGGCCAAUGUAAAACAGGUAGGUCGCUAAAUGAGGACCACCUGUACUAAUUUACAUAGUAGCAGAGUGUAAUUUCUUCAGUAUUGUCAC